UGCUUAACACAUGCAAGUCGAACGAUGAACCUCACUUGUGGGGGGAUUAGUGGCGAACGGGUGAGUAACACGUGAGUAACCUGCCCUUGACUCUGGGAUAAGCCUGGGAAACUGGGUCUAAUACCGGAUAUGACCUUCCAUCGCAUGGUGGUUGGUGGAAAGCUUUUGUGGUUUUGGAUGGACUCGCGGCCUAUCAGCUUGUUGGUGGGGUAAUGGCCUACCAAGGCGACGACGGGUAGCCGGCCUGAGAGGGUGACCGGCCACACUGGGACUGAGACACGGCCCAGACUCCUACGGGAGGCAGCAGUGGGGAAUAUUGCACAAUGGGCGCAAGCCUGAUGCAGCGACGCCGCGUGAGGGAUGACGGCCUUCGGGUUGUAAACCUCUUUCAGUAGGGAAGAAGCGAAAGUGACGGUACCUGCAGAAGAAGCGCCGGCUAACUACGUGCCAGCAGCCGCGGUAAUACGUAGGGCGCAAGCGUUAUCCGGAAUUAUUGGGCGUAAAGAGCUCGUAGGCGGUUUGUCGCGUCUGCCGUGAAAGUCCGGGGCUCAACUCCGGAUCUGCGGUGGGUACGGGCAGACUAGAGUGAUGUAGGGGAGACUGGAAUUCCUGGUGUAGCGGUGAAAUGCGCAGAUAUCAGGAGGAACACCGAUGGCGAAGGCAGGUCUCUGGGCAUUAACUGACGCUGAGGAGCGAAAGCAUGGGGAGCGAACAGGAUUAGAUACCCUGGUAGUCCAUGCCGUAAACGUUGGGCACUAGGUGU
RNAcentral lists this ribosomal RNA (763 nucleotides) under Arthrobacter sp. b90A(2010). RNAcentral describes it as "bacterial SSU rRNA". It matches the Rfam family "Bacterial small subunit ribosomal RNA", at positions 45 to 823 of the family's 1533-position model. Lineage: Bacteria; Bacillati; Actinomycetota; Actinomycetes; Micrococcales; Micrococcaceae. The record is from RNAcentral.